This is a non-coding RNA of Bacillus sp. SA1-12, 112 nucleotides long. NCBI's taxonomy places the organism in Bacteria, Bacillati, Bacillota, Bacilli, Caryophanales, Bacillaceae. The record is from Rfam.
AGGGGAUAUCUCCUUUCCUUUAUCAAUGGAGGUACUCGGCCAUACUGUGGGUUGAAAGAAACCUUAGACGCAAGUCGUCAAGAGUGUGGUGUGAGGGCGGGUUAAAUGCCCA